GACGAACGCUGGCGGCGUGCCUAAUACAUGCAAGUAGAACGCUGAAGGAGGAGCUUGCUUCUCUGGAUGAGUUGCGAACGGGUGAGUAACGCGUAGGUAACCUGCCUGGUAGCGGGGGAUAACUAUUGGAAACGAUAGCUAAUACCGCAUAAUAUUGACUAUUGCAUGAUAGUCAGUUGAAAGGUGCAACUGCACCACUACCAGAUGGACCUGCGUUGUAUUAGCUAGUUGGUGGGGUAACGGCUCACCAAGGCGACGAUACAUAGCCGACCUGAGAGGGUGAUCGGCCACACUGGGACUGAGACACGGCCCAGACUCCUACGGGAGGCAGCAGUAGGGAAUCUUCGGCAAUAGACGGAAGUCUGACCGAGCAACGCCGCGUGAGUGAAGAAGGUUUUCGGAUCGUAAAACUCUGUUGUAAGAGAAGAACGAGUGUGAGAGUGGAAAGCUCACACUGUGACGGUAUCUUACCAGAAAGGGACGGCUAACUACGUG
RNAcentral lists this ribosomal RNA (495 nucleotides) under uncultured bacterium. RNAcentral's name for it is "partial 16S ribosomal RNA". It matches the Rfam family "Bacterial small subunit ribosomal RNA", at positions 28 to 507 of the family's 1533-position model. The record is from RNAcentral.